RNAcentral lists this transfer RNA (92 nucleotides) under Streptomyces griseosporeus. Its description in RNAcentral is "tRNA-Arg". The record is from RNAcentral. Lineage: Bacteria; Bacillati; Actinomycetota; Actinomycetes; Kitasatosporales; Streptomycetaceae.
GGGCUGGUUGCGGGCGGGUUCGCCGCCGGGCUGGUUCCUGGCCGGCUCGCCGCCCGGCUGGUUCUUCGCCGGUUCACCGCCGGGCCGGGCCC